RNAcentral lists this ribosomal RNA (1376 nucleotides) under uncultured organism. RNAcentral's name for it is "bacterial SSU rRNA". It matches the Rfam family "Bacterial small subunit ribosomal RNA". The record is from RNAcentral.
GCAUGGCUAAAGCAUGCAAGUCGAACGCGAAAGGGUCUUCGGACCCAAGUAGAGUGGCGAACGGGCGAGUAAUACGUUCCUAACGUGCCCCAGAGCCGGGGAUAGCGGGGGGAAAGUCGCGGUAAUACCCGAUAACCUCCGCGAAUCGCAUGGUUUGCGGAGCAAAGUUCCGGCGCUCUGGGAUCGGGGAACGCGCUAUCAGGUUGUUGGUAGGGUAACGGCUUACCAAGCCUAAGACGGCUAGCGGGUGUGAGAGCAUGACCCGCCGCAUCGGGACUGAGACACUGCCCGGACUCCUACGGGAGGCUGCAGCGAGGAAUCUUCCCCAAUGCGCGAAAGCGUGAGGGAGCAAUGCCGCGUGCGGGAUGAAGCCCUUCGGGGUGUAAACCGCUGUCAGGAGCUAGGAAUUCUGACCCGCUCCAAAGGAAGGGCCGGCUAACUUCGUGCCAGCAGCCGCGGUAAUACGAAGGGCCCAAGCGUUAAUCGGAAUCACUGGGCUUAAAGCGUGCGUAGGCGGACAUGUAAGUGUUUUGUGAAAUCCCACGGCUCAACCGUGGAACUGCAGGGCAUACUGCAUGUCUUGAGGCCGGUAGAGGCGGCCGGAACUGUAGGUGUAGCGGUGAAAUGCGUAGAUAUCUACAGGAACGCCAAAGGUGAAGACAGGCCGCUGGGCCGGACCUGACGCUGAGGCACGAAAGCGUGGGGAGCAAACAGGAUUAGAUACCCUGGUAGUCCACGCCGUAAACAUUGUGUACUAGGUGCCGGAGGUUUUGACGCCAUCGGUGCCGUAGCGGAAGCGUUAAGUACACCGCCUGGGGAGUACGGUCGCAAGGCUAAAACUCAAAGGAAUUGACGGGGGCUCACACAAGCGGUGGAGCAUGUGGCUUAAUUCGAGGCAACGCGAAGAACCUUAUCCUGGGUUUGACAUGCAUGGAUUAACUCUGUGAAAACAGAGCCACGCCCUUUGGGUGGAACAUGCACAGGUGCUGCAUGGCUGUCGUCAGCUCGUGCUGUGAAGUGCAGGGUUAAGUCCCUUAACGAGCGAAACCCCUGUCGCUAGUUGCUAACAGGUUAUGCUGAGGACUCUAGCGAGACUGCCGGUGUCAAACCGGAGGAAGGUGGGGAUGACGUCAAGUCCUCAUGGCCUUUAUGCCCAGGGCUGCACACGUGCUACAAUGGUAGGUACAGAGCGAAGCAAAACCGCGAGGUGGAGCAAAUCGCACAAAGCCUGCCCCAGUUCGGAUCGCAGUCUGCAACUCGACUGCGUGAAGCUGGAAUCGCUAGUAAUCGCGCAUCACCUACGACGCGGUGAAUACGUUCCUGAGCCUUGUACACACCGCCCGUCAAGUCAUGGAAGCCGGGAGUGCCCGAAGUCG